AGGGACUUAGGUUAAACCAGACCUGGAGCCUUCAAAGCCCCCAGCAGGGGUGAAAACCCCCUAGUCCCUG
This 70-nucleotide transfer RNA is filed under the name Amblycirrhitus pinos (redspotted hawkfish). RNAcentral's name for it is "tRNA-Trp". It matches the Rfam family "tRNA". From Rfam's summary of the family: Transfer RNA (tRNA) molecules are approximately 80 nucleotides in length. Their secondary structure includes four short double-helical elements and three loops (D, anti-codon, and T loops). Lineage: Eukaryota; Metazoa; Chordata; Actinopteri; Centrarchiformes; Cirrhitidae. The record is from RNAcentral.